RNAcentral lists this ribosomal RNA (443 nucleotides) under uncultured bacterium. RNAcentral describes it as "partial 16S ribosomal RNA". It matches the Rfam family "Bacterial small subunit ribosomal RNA", at positions 338 to 795 of the family's 1533-position model. The record is from RNAcentral.
CCUACGGGUGGCAGCAGUGGGGAAUAUUGGGCAAUGGGCGCAAGCCUGACCCAGCAACGCCGCGUGAAGGAAUAAGGCUUUCGGGUUGUAAACUUCUUUUCUCAGGGACGAAGCAAGUGACGGUACCUGAGGCCUAAGCCACGGCUAACUACGUGCCAGCAGCCGCGGUAAUACGUAGGUGGCAAGCGUUAUCCGGAUUUACUGGGUGUAAAGGGCGUGUAGGCGGGACUGUAAGUCAGAUGUGAAAACCACGGGCUCAACCUGGGGCCUGCAGUUGAAACUGUAGGUCUUGAGUACUGGAGAGGCAGACGGAAUGCCUAGUGUAGCGGUGAAAUGCGUAGAUAUUAGGAAGAACACCAGUGGCGAAGGCGGUCUGCUGGACAGCAACUGACGCUGAGGCGCGAAAGCGUGGGGAGCAAACAGGAUUAGAUACCCCUGUAGUC